This 253-nucleotide ribosomal RNA is filed under the name uncultured bacterium. RNAcentral's name for it is "partial 16S ribosomal RNA". It matches the Rfam family "Bacterial small subunit ribosomal RNA", at positions 524 to 776 of the family's 1533-position model. The record is from RNAcentral.
UACGUAGGGGGCGAGCGUUGUCCGGAAUGAUUGGGCGUAAAGGGCGCGUAGGCGGCCUGUUAAGUCUGGAGUGAAAGUCCUACCUUCAAGGUGGGAAUUGCUUUGGAUACUGGCGGGCUUGAGUGCAGGAGAGGUUAUCGGAAUUCCCGGUGUAGCGGUGAAAUGCGUAGAGAUCGGGAGGAACACCAGUGGCGAAGGCGGGUAACUGGACUGCAACUGACGCUCAACUGCGAAGGUGUGGGUAUCAAACAGG